CAGUAUGGCCCAGUACAGCCCAAUAUGGCCCAGUACAGUCCAAUAUAUCCCAGUACAGCCUAGUAUAGCCCAAUAUGGCCCAGUACAGCCCAAUAUGGCCCAGUACGACCCAGUGCCUCCCCUGCGGACACCCCAGUAUAAACCAGUACGAAGCACUACAGCAGCCCAGCUGGGAACUCCUGCGCCUUCAUCGCCCCGGGCCGGACCAGUUUGGACUGGGAAACGGGCUCGGAUGCAACUGGGAGCCCUGCGCACGCAGCGCCUGGAGUCAGACCAGUAUGGACCAGUAUGGACCAGUAUGAGAUCCCAACUAGGAUCGCUGCAUUGGCACGGCCGGAGCCAUCCCAGCGCCAACCAGUACGGACCAGUACAGCACCCAACUGGGGACUCUUCACCCGCGUGGCCUUGCGUCCUCCCAGUACGGACCAGUAUGGACCAGUCCAGCAUCGUGCCCAGGAUUUCUUCACCCGCGUGGCCUUGCGUCCUCCCAGUAUGGACCAGUCCGGACCAGUCCAGCAUCUCACCUGGGAUCUCUUCAUCCACGUGGCCUUGUGUCCUCCCAGUAUGGACCAGUACGGACCAGUAGGGCGCCCCGGCUGGGAUCUCAUUGCACAAACGGGUCCUCCCAGUACAGACCAGUACGGACCAGUCCCCGCGCCCCCCGGGUGCU
This 670-nucleotide long non-coding RNA is filed under the name Anser cygnoides (Swan goose). RNAcentral describes it as "lncRNA (ENSACDG00005008227.1)". Lineage: Eukaryota; Metazoa; Chordata; Aves; Anseriformes; Anatidae. The record is from RNAcentral.